AACGAGACCUUAACCUGCUAAAUAGCCAGGUUCACUUAGGUGGGCCGCCGGCUUCUUAGAGGGACUUUUGGCUCAAGCCAAUGGAAGUACGAGGCAAUAACAGGUUAACCUUUGGGUGUUACGCUCAUCACAGGCCUGUGACAGUGGUACCUCGUUAAACAACAACCGCUAGUCGAGCAUCUUUGUUCCUUUUGGUGGAAGUCCACCGACUGUCGGGAAAGG
Molecule: ribosomal RNA, 222 nt
Filed under: Chaetothyriales sp.
Lineage: Eukaryota; Fungi; Ascomycota; Eurotiomycetes; Chaetothyriales
Description: partial small subunit ribosomal RNA
Source: RNAcentral